AAGAGGCUGAAACUCGCCUCUUUGAAGUCGGAAUCGCUAGUAAUCGCAGAUCAGCAUGUUGCGGUGAAUACGUUUCCUGGUCUUGUACACACCGCCCGUCAAACCACGAGAGUCGCCAACACCCGAAGUCCGCUUUGCGGCCUAAGGUGGGGGAGAUGAUUGGGGUUAAGUCGUAACAAGGUAAC
Molecule: ribosomal RNA, 185 nt
Filed under: uncultured bacterium
Lineage: Bacteria
Description: partial 16S ribosomal RNA
Rfam family: Bacterial small subunit ribosomal RNA
Source: RNAcentral